RNAcentral lists this long non-coding RNA (260 nucleotides) under Homo sapiens (human). Its description in RNAcentral is "HSALNT0174154". Lineage: Eukaryota; Metazoa; Chordata; Mammalia; Primates; Hominidae. The record is from RNAcentral.
UGUUCACCCACUCAGCAAUUAUUUAACAAACAUUUAUUGUGCCCAAGACUUUUGUGGGCUCUCUGCCAGGAAAGGGCAGGUCAUUGAAUGGGCCCUGGGAAAAAUGAUGUCUGAGCUUCUCUCCAGUUCUCAGAGAAAGGCUGGAGAGAGACCCUUCACCCCUUCCAUCGUGAGGAUACAGCAAGAAGGCACCGUCUAUAAACCAGAAAGUGGGCCCUCAAUAGACACUGAAUCUGCCGGUGCUUUGAUCUAGGACUUCC